UUAAGUUCAGCGGGUAUUCCUACCUGAUCCGAGGUCAACAUUUCAGAAGUUGGGGUGUUUUACAGACGUGGACGCGCCGCGCUCCCGGUGCGAGUGUGCAAACUACUGCGCAUGAGAGGCUGCGGCGAGACCGCCACUGUAUUUGGGGGACGGCACCCGGUGAAAGGGCCGAUCCCCAACGCCGACCCCCCGGAGGGGUU
RNAcentral lists this unclassified non-coding RNA (200 nucleotides) under Trichoderma sp. RNAcentral describes it as "partial internal transcribed spacer 2". The record is from RNAcentral. Lineage: Eukaryota; Fungi; Ascomycota; Sordariomycetes; Hypocreales; Hypocreaceae.